RNAcentral lists this ribosomal RNA (586 nucleotides) under Debaryomyces fabryi. RNAcentral's name for it is "eukaryotic LSU rRNA". It matches the Rfam family "Eukaryotic large subunit ribosomal RNA", at positions 46 to 648 of the family's 3401-position model. Lineage: Eukaryota; Fungi; Ascomycota; Pichiomycetes; Serinales; Debaryomycetaceae. The record is from RNAcentral.
UUAGGCGGAGGAAAAGAACCCAACAGGGAUUGCCUUAGUAACGGCGAGUGAAGCGGCAAAAGCUCAAAUUUGAAAUCUGGCACCUUCGGUGUCCGAGUUGUAAUUUGAAGAAGGUAACUUUGGAGUUGGCUCUUGUCUAUGUUCCUUGGAACAGGACGUCACAGAGGGUGAGAAUCCCGUGCGAUGAGAUGCCCAAUUCUAUGUAAAGUGCUUUCGAAGAGUCGAGUUGUUUGGGAAUGCAGCUCUAAGUGGGUGGUAAAUUCCAUCUAAAGCUAAAUAUUGGCGAGAGACCGAUAGCGAACAAGUACAGUGAUGGAAAGAUGAAAAGAACUUUGAAAAGAGAGUGAAAAAGUACGUGAAAUUGUUGAAAGGGAAGGGCUUGAGAUCAGACUUGGUAUUUUGCGAUCCUUUCCUUCUUGGUUGGGUUCCUCGCAGCUUACUGGGCCAGCAUCGGUUUGGAUGGUAGGAUAAUGACUAAGGAAUGUGGCUCUACUUCGGUGGAGUGUUAUAGCCUUGGUUGAUACUGCCUGUCUAGACCGAGGACUGCGUCUUUGACUAGGAUGCUGGCAUAAUGAUCUUAAGCCAC